Molecule: long non-coding RNA, 546 nt
Organism: Lagopus muta (rock ptarmigan)
Lineage: Eukaryota; Metazoa; Chordata; Aves; Galliformes; Phasianidae
Exons: 3
Source: RefSeq, a predicted model, not a curated record
CUCUUCUGUGAACCUAGAUCUUUGGAUACAGUGCACAGUGGUGCACUUGUUUCAAUCCAGAUCUCAAGGGAGUAUAAACAAGGCAUCCAUGGUGCUUAGCAGGAUGGGUCUGGGCACGUGUGCUUCCCAGUGUCCAACCACAGAAGCAGUGAGAGGAUGAAACCACACAGAGGCUGCCGCGUCAACAUCUUCCUCCACCUGACUGCCAGGUCAAGGCUGCAUGUAGCAAGGGUGACAUGGGUUGGUGGCCGUGCCCACAUCCUCAUCAGGAAUGGCCUUUUUGGUGAUGUCUUCCUUUCUUCCUUGGCUUUUGAAAGGCACAGUUGCUGCUAUCACUGAUUCAGGCACAAGUCAACUUGCUCACCUUUUUUGAGUUCUGCUCUGUGGAUACCCUACAGCCUGAGCUACAUGGUGGUGGUUGAUGUUCAUCUACUCCUCCCCAAAGAUGGACUAGAAGUAGCACAUACACAACUAUUACAUAUUCAUACAGCCAGAUCUGUGUGGGAGAGAGCUGUAACUGGGAGAACAGCAGCACAUAACAAUGGC